Molecule: small nucleolar RNA, 129 nt
Organism: Papaver somniferum (opium poppy)
Lineage: Eukaryota; Viridiplantae; Streptophyta; Magnoliopsida; Ranunculales; Papaveraceae
Source: RefSeq, a predicted model, not a curated record
AUGCAAAGUCGUCUAAUUCUAGUGGCGUUCAUAUUUGCUAUUGAAGGUUGGCAACAGCAAAAAACACAAUUUUCCGUGCCUAUCAAAUCUCUUAAUUUUGAACAAGGCCUCGGAAUAAGUUGAUGUGUU